Molecule: long non-coding RNA, 7041 nt
Organism: Acinonyx jubatus (cheetah)
Lineage: Eukaryota; Metazoa; Chordata; Mammalia; Carnivora; Felidae
Exons: 3
Source: RefSeq, a predicted model, not a curated record
UCUCUUCAGAUUAAAGCUGCUAUUUAUAGCAGGAAGACUGGCAAUGACCACAGUGUAGAGGACUUUACUCUGAGGGUGAGGCACUUGGAUUUAGUUCAUCCUGGGUAGAACUGCUCCUCCUUCUCUAUGUCCAACACCCAACUCCAUUGAACAGGUCCAAAACCAUAUCAGCUGUUUUCUGCCUCUCUGCUCAACCACCACAACUGCCAUUGGGGGGGGCAUUUAGGAGAAUCAUCUGCUCAGAGUGAAGGAUAUUCAUAUCUAUCAAAGUACUGGACUUAUUUGUAUUUAGUGUUGGAAAAGAGAUCUCUGCCAGGAAGACCGAAUAUAGGAUCUAAAAUAAUCAUCAAUCACGUACAGGCCCACAGCCAAGCCAUUGAGAGACAAACCAAUGGGAAACAAAUUAGCUCAUGUACCUCAUGUGCUCCUGGAGCUUUCCCACAGUACCCCUUGGCCAGUGCUUGGACAAGGUAAUUUACCAUAUCUCUGAGUGUCCUACUCCCAAGGGGACAUUCAUCUUGCCUUCCUAGAAGCAGGUUGAGGUCUGGAGUUUCAUGUUUAUGGUCAUCAAAUAUAUUUUGGCUAGCAGAAUGAGAGGCACAGUUGUGUUUUCAGUAAACUCAUCCAUUACCUUGACUUCAGAGCUAUUGAAUUUAUACUACCUGAUGAAAAUAACCAAUUUCAAAUGACAGACAAACCUGAAAUAUGGUUAUACCAUCAGAGGUCUCCCUGUGACAGGAAAUAAAAAUCAAAUCAUCUGGGCAUUGUCAAGUAAAAUGAGAGUUAGUAAAAAAGAAAUAUAUAAUUUUAGAGUCAUCAAAUGAUGAAAUACUGGAAGGGAUAUCUCUUUAUUGAGGUUUGUUUUAAUACCAACCAGACUGUCUUUUCAAAAUCUGUGAAUCUCAUUAGGAUCAAAGUAGCCUGAAGGGCAUUUAUGGAAGAUUUUAAAGGCUGGUAUAGGGUUUGAAGAACUUAUAUAUAACUGUGAAUAUUUGAGGGAAAUAGUUGAUCAAAAGCCUCUAAAAUGUGAACCCCAAAGACCGAAAUUAAUAAAAGUAGUUAAGAGAUUUGGUUGUGAAUAAAGUGGGGAAAAAUUAACUAGAUAAAAAAAAUAUUUAUUGAUAAAAUACCUCUUAAAGGUAUGAUAACAUAUUUUAAAUCACGCUUUGUCUAAACUUCCUAAACCUGGAAAUAUCUAAGAAUAAGAGAAACUUCAUAAAGUAUUAAUUAUAGACCACAGCACUCUUUUUAGUAUUAGAACCUUUCUUUUUCCCAAUCUAUUCUCUAAUUAGGGAAACCAUGGCUGCCACUCUCUACUUAGAAAUCUACUCUUUUUUCUUCUAAUCCAUUAUAUGUAGUUGAACUAAAUAUACCAAAACACAUAUUUACAGAAAAUGAUCACAUUAUAAGGAAAAAAGUGGAGUGGAAUGUUGUGGAAUGUUGUAUUUUUUUUUUUCUGAUACAAACCACUACUUCAUGAUAGGUGCAAUCACUUCUUGUAUUUAUUUCCCUGCCUUUUAUUUCAUUUUGAAUUACUUUUUCUUGUGUUUUUGAUGAAAUUAAAUUUUAAUUAUUGGAUUGUUCAUCAUACAUGUUUGUUCUGAUCAUGGUCAUUAUGAUCUCAUAUAAGAGAAAUUACAAUGGACUUUAAAGGGUGCUAAUGGCAGCUUCUGGAAUAACCACUGAGGGUAUUAGUGGAGGUGGAAAAAAUCAGAAAGUUAAGACAGGCUCUAGAUUUAUGAUUUAUUUAUGUAUUUUAGAGAUUCUGAUCCAUGGGAAGAAAGGGCAGUGAAAUAUAAACCUUGGUCUUGAUGGAGAGAGACAAAGAGAGAGAGAGAGAGGGAGGGAAAGAGGCAGUGGGUGAAGGUUCAAGCACCAAUUAGAGAUUUAAAUUUAAAAUUUAAAUUUGAAGUAAAAAUAUAUUCAUAUAAUUUUUGAGCAAAAUCUAACAAUUUGGUAAAUUUAAGUCAAAUAUUUGCAUUAAAGAAUCUGUAAUGAUAUGCUGAAUAUCUGUUCUCUUCCAAGUCAAGUAAAUCAAAUUGGACAUUAAAGGACCACCAAAUAAGGAAUGACAUGAACGUCUAUUUUUAGACGUAGGUUAUUUAGAGUAGGUUAUUUAGAGUAUUUAGAGUAGGUUAUCACCACUGAAUUUGUACCUUGCCAUCAAGAAGACAUUCUAGCAAUAUUGUCUCUAGCCUUGGCGUAAUUGUAUUAGUUGUCAUUUAGUCACAUUUUUGUUUUUCCUCACAUGUGAUUUUGUUUCAGAAAAUGUCUUCCAAUAUAAAACAUACCAAGUUACUCUUUGGAUGGCAAUGACAAAAAACUUGAAUGGAGUGUAGCACAGUUUCGUGUAGCACCUCAUCCCUGAAGUGACAAUCUCGGUUCAGGUCUUCAGUCUUUCUUGCCUGGUUUAUUGCAAUCACUGGGCUCUUUUCCAUCCAGGCAUCCUCCCUCCACCUCCACUGGCUGCCAUAUUGAUUUUUCAAAAUGUAAAUAUGAUUAUGUCACUCUUGUUGAGAAAGUUUUUAAGAGAUGGCUUAUAACCUACAAGAUAAUAGAACAACUGAGAUUGGCAUGCUGGGCUCUUCAGGGCUCAGCUUCGUCUCCCUCCACUCUUGAUCCUCUCCACAUUGGCUUUGCCCCAAACAUAUCAUGUCAAGCUGAUUCCUUGACUGGGGCAGCUCUUUAUCCUUGCUGUUCACUGAAAGCUCACUCUCCCUUCAAGUUCAAAUGUUAACUUUUCCAGUUCACUGAGUAAUACCAUUAGGCACUCCCUUUUCUCUCUCUGGCACCUAAUAUGUAAACCUUUUAGACAUCAGUUAUUACUGUUUUGAACUUCUUGCUAGUACAGCACUUUCAUAUACAGGCCCUUUAAUAAUCGCCUGCUGAAAAAAGGGCCGGUUGAUAAGACAAAUAGCUUCUCCAUAAACAUCAAGGCCAUGGGAUGUUUUAUUGCUGUGUUCCAGCAGGCUACUGAAAACUUUUGAGAUCACACACAUAAUAUACUUGAUUUCCUCAUAUGACCAGAAAUUCUAUGACCAGAUCUUGUCCCACAAUGGAAAGUCCUCUGAAGACCAGGUUAUCUGUGGAUGGUUCACUCUAGUUUGAAAACAUUUUAAAACUUAAAGGAACUCCUUUAUUAUAUGCCCAAGAGAAAUCAAGACCAGAGAGGUAAAGACAAUUUCCUGGAAUAACAGCUAAAAUGAAUGAUGGGACAGAACUAAAACAAACUGUCCAGAUACCCAGUCAGAUAAUCCUUAUAAUAAUAUAGGAAGAUCUUCAGCAGGCCAAGAAAUGAACCAAAAUAACCCCCCAAAUCCAUGAAUAGUACUAUGUUAAUAACUAUAUGUUAUUAAAUACCUACCAUCACUAUGUUCAAGACAUCAUACUAGGUGUUAUGGGUACUAAAACAAAUAGCCCAUGGAGUCUGCUCUUCAAGUAUUCAUGCUUCAGCUCUUACCUGUCUCCUUUCUCUCCCCUUACCAUUUACUCUUCCUCUCUACCUAAGGAGACUCUCUCAGAGGGGCUUCAGCUAAAUCCUCUGAGUGAGUUAAGAGAUGGAGGAAAACAAACAUGGGAUGGGGCAUUGUAGGUUACACUCUACCUCCAAGCUUUGAGGUCCUGGUAGUGACUUCAUCUUUCUGAGCAUCAGUUCAUAAAUAUAAAUAGUCACAGUGAUUCCUACUCUGUCUCUGCAUAAGCCAUUUUAAGAAGCAAAUGAUGGCUAUGCUGUAUUUCAAAGCCAUUGGCUUUUGAGCCUUGAUGGUUGGUUUGAAUCUCUGCUCUAUUACUUCUUAGGUGUGGGAAUGUGUCUUCUCAUGUUCAAAAUGUGGUUAUAUUAUCCACCUUAUCUUGUUAGGGUUAGCAAUACUGUUUUAAAUAAGUUUAUUUACCUAUUUUGAGACAGAGAGAGAGAGAGAGAGCAAGAGAGAGAGCAUGAGCAAGUGGGGGAGGGGCAGAGAGAGAAGGAGAGAGAGAAUCCCAGGCAGGCUCCACACUGUCAGCAGAGAGCCUGAUAUGGGGCUGGAACUCACAAACCCUAAGACCAUGACGUGAGCCAAAGUCAGAUGCUUAACCUACUGAGCCACCCAGGCAUCCCUAGGGUUAGCAAUGUUGUAAGUACAGAUAAAGGUCUGACCUUUAAGACAUUAUCAAUUAAUGUAAGUCUUAUUCUCGUUAUUGUUUUCAGAUAUGUUUAAGGGUACUUCAUCUGUCUGAAAAUUCUGUAGACACUUAAGAAAUUAUUUCCCCCAGACACAUGCAGACUAAAGCGUGCUGUUUAUGAGAUGACUGGCAUACUAGUGGUGUUAGAAUUUUUCCCAUAAUUGCACACCUUUGCUACAAAGAUCAGCAAAGAUGCUGGAUACACAGCAAUGGCCGGGAGCCUGAGGCUAUGUGAAAUGAGGGCUACUCUGGAGUAAAUUGUCAUUUUCAAAAAAUAAAGAAUGAGUCAGACCAUGCCUAAUUCCACAGGAAAGAGAUUAGUUGCAGCAGAAAACAUGUGGAGUUAAUUUGGUUAGAAAGGAAAUAUUAACAUCUUGAAUUCCACAAAGACUCCUUCCCUUGGAGUUUGUUGGAUGAUUUACAGAGCUCGUUUAUAGAUCUUCAUAAAUGCAGUGGGUACAUAAUAAAAGGGCAAAUCAAGGAUGACUAUUGUUACAGUGACUGUGUUUUAUGUACAUUCAAAACCUUAUCCCACAUAUGUAGCCUUUACUGAUACAGAGCCUAGGGAUUUUUGAGGGAAUUAAAACAAGAAGUGAUAUUUACAUAAUGUUCUUUCGAGUUCCAUUUUGGCUAAAUUUUGAAAUCUGAUUUUAGAAUAAUGUAUACUUGGAAUGAGUCAGAAUAGUAUGUUUCUACAAUAUGGAAGUCAGCUGCAGCUGGAAUAAAUGGAUCUUACGCUAAUUUAGGGUCCCAAAUGACAGCUAAUUUUUUGUCAUUCAGAACUUGAAAUUUGCUUUUUGUAAUAGUUCCUGAAAUUACAAUGAAUUUUCAUAGUUUUGGAGAUCCUUGCCUUCAUCAUUUUUAUUUUCUUUCAUGCUUGACAUAGGAAGAAUGGAAUAUGUUUCUAUCCAAUUCUAUCUGUAGGCUCAUCCCCUAAGCCUCUGUUUUACUUUGCUUUUUACUUUUUGCUUUGGGACUUUUCUUUCUUUCAAACCUUAGACCGAAGUUGUCCUUCUUCAGGUACAUCAUCAACAUUUUUUAAAAAGAAACUUCUGCAGGUGAUUGUAAAAGGAUGCUUAAAGAUACAAUACUGGAACAUAAAUAAAUUAGGACCUUAGAGAUAACCAAAUCAGGACCAAUAUGUGAUAAUUUAGUUCAUCACUAAAACUAGUUACACACAAAAAUAAUUAUCUAAUUUUUCUUACAUUUUCCAAAUAUUUUUCUACAUUAUCUGAAUACCUUAGCAUUCUUUUAUGUAGGUCCAGGGUAAUUAAAUUUUUUACUGGAUUUCUUUGUUUUCAGGAAUACAUUUUUCACUUGUAGAAUGCUUCUUUGCAAACAGUUUGAAAUUAAUUUUGUUAUAAUCAAGAAAUGUAUCUCUUUAAAACUUUAAAAAUAUAGACUGAUGUUAUUUUUUUUCUUAAGCUCCUGAAGUUUAAAAUCUAAAACUCUCAGAAAAGUAUAUUUCAAUUGCAUUAUGCAAUGGUGUAUGUGUGUGUAUAUAUAAUAUAUAUGUAUAUAUUUAUAUAUAUAAUAUGCAACUAUAUAUUCAUACUAUACACAUACACAAAGGUAUAUAAAUGAUUUGGAAAUACUCACAAUUAAAAAUAAAUGGUUUUAAAAUUAUAUUUAUGUCAAUCACAACAAUUUUGCUUUACUAUGAAUUCUCAAAUUAAACCUUAAACAAUGGUUACUUUUUAUUAAUGAUUACGAAUCAGGCAAUACACAGUGUCCUUCACACAUAUUCAUUCUUCAUAAAAACCCUAAGUCUUAUGAAUUAUCCUUAUUAAAACCAAGCUCAGGGACAAAGUAAUUCAAGGUCAUAAAGCUUCUGAAAGGCAGAACAAGGAUUACAUUAACUAUUGACCUUAAUCAUGACACUGUUUGUUGUUGUUGUUUGUUUUGUUUUGUUUUUACAUGAACUGUCUUAUCUUAAUCAAAGGGAAGCAAUUGAAAACACUUUUAGAAACUCAAAAACAGGAGCAAUAUGCCCAUAUGGUUUAUAUCAAUAAUACAUAAUGAACAAUAAAUAUAGCGAUUCCUCAUUUUAAGCAAAGAUAUUAUUUCAUGAAACAGAAAUAUCGGAUUGGGAUUAAUACUUCUACAAAUGGUAUCACUGUUGGUAUUUCUCAGAUGGCCAUUAGGAUCUAGGUGGAAAAAUUAAACCGUGUUAGGUUAAUUGAUACAGGAAAAAUGGUCAACAAGCUGCAAAUGAGGCCACCCAGAAAUUAACAACAGCAGGAAGCUGUUGUCACCCUCGUUCUGGAAGGGCACUAAGAACAGGUGGCCUUACCAGCUUCCAGAAAUCAUGGCUGCUUCACGGCUGCUGCAGUCAUGAUGGAUGGGCUGUGGUCAGGAGCUGGAGCCUCAGAGGAACCAAUGACAGCCAGAGACACCACAAGAGCAGAGAGAAGGGGAAUAUCCCGGCUUCUCCUUCAUCUGCCAUUCCCAUCAUUGGUUCCAGCUUCCCAUUGCAGACCCCACUGGAAGUAAGAGUGCAAGGGCUGCACCCUAAAAUCGAGUUUCCUGUAAAAUGCAGCAAAACAGAAGGGAGAAUAUGGAUAUUAGAGAAGACAGUUCAACUAUCCUCCCUCCUUCUCAGCCCACCACCCUCUAACGGGAUGGUUUUGGAUAAAUCGAACUAUUACAAAACUGUUUCCUUAUGUAGAAAAACAACAACAACAACACAUUACUCCUUAUUUCUGCCUCACAGGAUGAUUUGAGAGAAGUAAAUGAGAUGGUGAGUUUGAAUUCUUCAUCUAUAGGAAGCCCCAAAUAAAUGCAAAUUUUACUACGUUUGUAUGCAAAAAACAUAAAAAUUCUUGCUCUAUUGAUAAAUUAGCUGUAGCAACCAUUUCCAAUGCAAUUAUACACACA